UGUACUAGUCAAGGACAUUUCCAGCUUCCCAUGCUCUGCUGGGGGCACAAGAAGCCGGGAGGGGAGGGGGCACAGCUGAGAGAGAGGAUCCAAACUGACCAAAGGGAUAUUCCAUAUCAUGUAACAUCAUGCCCAGUAUGUUAACUGGGAGGAGCUGGCUGGGGGAGGGAGGCAGCAAUCGCGGCUCGGGGACAGGCAGCGUCGGUCGGCGGGUGGUGGCUGGUUGUAUCGCUCGUGUUUCUGUGGUUUUUUUUAUUUUUUUCCUUUCCCUUCCUUUUCCAUUUUAUUAUAUGAACAUUGUUGUCAUUAUUAUCAUAAUUAUUAUAAUUAUUAUUUUAUUGUAAUUAUUAAACUGUGCUUAUCUCAACCCACAAUUUCUUUUGCUCUUCCGAUUCUCUCCCCCAUCCCACAGGGGUGGGGGGAGUGAGCGGGCGGCUGCGUGGUGGUUAGUUGCCAACUGAGGCUGAACCUCGACAGCUGUUGAAGUAGAAAAAGCAUCUCCCUAAGCAUUCAGAAAAUGAUAAACUUAUGGGAGUACACUUGAAGUUUCAUACAUCUCUAUGUACUGGAAAUAUUGUACAUCUGAGGAAAUGACAUUUAUUUCAGAAGAAGAGACACAAAUCAGGGUAGGCACUUUCUGGAGACCUCUGAAAUUCCAUCUUUUAUGCAUUUUCCUUCAUCAGAACUCUUUCAGCAUCUUGACUCCAGACUCCCUCCUUCUCUACAAUAACAUUGCAGAAGCAAGCAAAAAUGAUGGUGUUUUUCAAAAUUAAAGAAGAAAGACUGUUAAUUAUUUUUGUGUAAGGAAGGGACAGGAAGAGGGUGUUCACUUAGAGGAUUACAGAACUGCUGCAGCUGGCGGGCACCUCUGAAGAUCAUCUAGCUGACCCAUCGAAGCAGGGUCUCUUGGAGCAGGUUGCCCAGGACCAUGACCAGUCAGGUUUUGAAUAUGUCCAGGGAUGGAGACUCCAAAAACUCUUUGAACAAGAUGCUCAACUGCUUGACCUCCCUCAGAGGAAGAGGUGGAGGGUUUUUCAAUAUUUAAAUGGAAUUUACUGUAAUUGAAUUUGUGCCCAUUGCCUCUUAUCCACGCACUGGAUACCACUGAGAGGAGUCUGCCUCUGUCGACUUUAUUCCUAUCUGGUUUAUAUACACAUAUGUAUGUGUAUAUACCCCCAGCCCCUGCCUUCUCUUGUCCAGGCUAAACAAUUGCAGCUAUCUCAGCCUGUUAGCUGACAGUUAGCUAAGUCAUUGCACAAGAUUGUGUAUCAUUCUGAUAUGAUAUUACCCCCAAUUUUAUUAAUUUAAUUUUUACCCAUUAUAAACGGUGUGAAGAGACACUGUGCAGCUGCAGACAGGAUGGUAGACAAGGUUGCUCACAGAGCCCUGCGCUAGUAUCUCCCACCCAGGCUCUCAGUGUCGCUUCUGGACCUGUUCAGGCUGAACUUUCACUGGGCUACACAGGGGAGUGAGGAACCCGAGAAACAAACCCCUGUGCACCACAGGCACUUCUGCUGACAGCAGCACCUGCGCUGCCUCGUGCUCCAGCUUCAGCGUGACUCCUCGCAUCGGCGCACAGCUGCACCAUUGUCUCAGCCAGAAAGCUGUCUUGAAUAGAAAAUACAUCUCCAGGGCCCACCUUCCUGAUUUCAGUUCCUGUAGCAUUAUUUUAAUUACUGGAAUUUGUUUUGCAUUAAUUAGGUAAUUUUACUUUCUAGUUUUUUCAGUUUUAAAAUCUUUUUGACUGCUCUUAUUUUUUUCUCUUUACUAAAUGUGGGAGCAAACCGCUGUGAUAUCAAUAAACUGUACAAAAAACAGGCCUGAGAUAUAGAUCCCCAUUGAUUUUUACUCCAUCUGAACAAAAAGGCAAAAAAAGUACCUAUAAGUUUUGGCAAGUUUAAAGAGUUGACAGAAGGUAGUCUAUUGUGAAAAUGUUUCAGUGGAAGGACCAUACAUCACUUUUUUACUAAACAAGUACUAUUUUUAAUUUUCCAAAUGUUAUUGCCAUUACAAAGGAAAAUAAAUUGUAUA
Non-coding RNA from Phalacrocorax carbo (great cormorant), 2031 nucleotides. Lineage: Eukaryota; Metazoa; Chordata; Aves; Suliformes; Phalacrocoracidae. The record is from RefSeq and is a predicted model, not a curated record.